CUUGUCUGCUUAUUGGCUUUG
Molecule: non-coding RNA, 21 nt
Filed under: Arabidopsis thaliana (thale cress)
Lineage: Eukaryota; Viridiplantae; Streptophyta; Magnoliopsida; Brassicales; Brassicaceae
Source: RNAcentral